RNAcentral lists this ribosomal RNA (301 nucleotides) under uncultured bacterium. RNAcentral describes it as "partial 16S ribosomal RNA". It matches the Rfam family "Bacterial small subunit ribosomal RNA", at positions 509 to 809 of the family's 1533-position model. The record is from RNAcentral.
CAGUCGCCACGGUAAUACGUAGGGCGCAAGCGUUAUCCGGAAUUGUUGGGCGUAAAGAGCUCGUAGGCGGUUUGUCGCGUCUGCUGUGAAAGCCCGGGGCUCAACCCCGGGUCUGCAGUGGGUACGGGCAGACUAGAGUGCAGUAGGGGAGACUGGAAUUCCUGGUGUAGCGGUGAAAUGCGCAGAUAUCAGGAGGAACACCGAUGGCGAAGGCAGGUCUCUGGGCUGUAACUGACGCUGAGGAGCGAAAGCAUGGGGAGCGAACAGGAUUAGAUACCCCUGUAGUCCCUGUCUCUUAUAA